Molecule: long non-coding RNA, 1191 nt
Organism: Sapajus apella (tufted capuchin)
Lineage: Eukaryota; Metazoa; Chordata; Mammalia; Primates; Cebidae
Exons: 3
Source: RefSeq, a predicted model, not a curated record
AAAGUUAAGUGACCCUAUGAGCUUCAGUCUCUUUGUAAAGUGGAAAUAAUACUUGGCAGAGGCCUGAAGGUUAUAGUAUUACAAUGUUUAUUCCUGACACAGACUGGAUAAUAUAUGACUAUUGGUUGUUAGUAUAAAUAGUGACAGUCUUUUCCUUUGCCCAGUUUAAGGCUUUUAUUAGGGCUAAAACUUCAACCUUUUGGGCCGAGUCCCAUGAGAAGGGCCUGAGCCCAGAUGACCCACUCUAGGGUGACUACGGCUGCCCCCCAAUACCUCACUCCGUUGACUACAAAACUGCUGCCAUCUGUAUACAGUACCUUUUCCGUGUUCCGUAAGGGAACGUCGGUGAGGUCCGGUUGAGCGGUUUGGAUGACAUUUAUUUUUUGUUGACAGUUAUGUAUGGGUUCUUCUGGCUUACUGUUAGGCAGCGGUGUGGCUGGAUUUAGGACUAUAGUUUUCAAGAACUGGAUGUGGGGCUGGUCCAAAAGUAGAGCCUGGUACUGUACUAUGCGGGCAUUAGACAUCCACUUUCCUGAAGCCCCGCGGAGUAGUGAUUUUACUGCAUGGGGUGCUACUAGGUUUAAUAGCUGCCCCAGAGUUAGUUUGUCUGCUUCCCUUACCAACAGGGCUGUUGCUGCCACAGACCAAAGGCAGGCUGGCCACCCAGAGGCUACAGGAUUAAGUUUUUUUGAUAGGUAGGCAACUGGCCUGGACCAUGGUCCUAAUGUCUGGGUGAGCACCUGCUUCACGAUUCCUUGUUUUUUUAUGUACAAACAACCAGAAGGGUUUAGAAAUAUCUGGAAAGGCCAGGGCUGGGGCCAAGGUCAGAGCGGCUUUAAGUUUAUUAAAAGCCUGUUUUACUAUUGUCUAAAUUAGGGGUUGAUUCCCUCCUGUGCAGGCAUACAGAGGCUUGGCUAUUUUGAUAAAACCUAAAAUCCAUAGCCUACAGUACUUUACUGCCCCAAGGAACUCCCAAACUUGGCGUUUUGUGGUAGGGCUGGGUAUCUGUAGUGCUGCUUGGACUUGGCUGCGCGCCAGUGCCCGGCUGCUUUUUUCUAUGAUAUAGCCCAGGUAAGUAACCUUUUGUUGACAGAGUUGGGCUUCUUUGGCUGAGACUUGAUAUUCCAGAGUUUCUACGGUUAACAGUAAAAACUGGGUGGCUUCCUUGCAGGCCUCUUGGGUUUUUGAGGU